UACAGAGGGUGCAAACGUUGCUCGGAAUCAUUGGGCGUAAAGCGCACGUAGGCGGCCUAGCAAGUCGGGAGUGAAAUCCCUCGGCUUAACCGGGGAACUGCGUCUGAUACUGGAUGGCUUGAGUUUGGGAGAGGGAUGCGGAAUUCCCGGUGUAGCGGUGAAAUGCGCAGAGAUCGGGAGGAACACCCGUAGCGAAGGCGGUUCUCUGGGCCGGUACUGACGCUGAGGAGCGAAAGCGUGGGGAGCAAACAGG
Molecule: ribosomal RNA, 253 nt
Filed under: uncultured bacterium
Lineage: Bacteria
Description: partial 16S ribosomal RNA
Rfam family: Bacterial small subunit ribosomal RNA
Source: RNAcentral